ACGCCAGUAGCUCAACUUGGUAGAGCGUUGGUCUCCAAAACCAAAGGUUGGGGGUUCGAUUCCCUCCUGGCGUG
Molecule: transfer RNA, 74 nt
Filed under: Planctomycetota bacterium
Lineage: Bacteria; Pseudomonadati; Planctomycetota
Also listed under: 1 other name
Description: Planctomycetes bacterium (anaerobic digester metagenome) tRNA-Trp
Rfam family: tRNA
About the family: Transfer RNA (tRNA) molecules are approximately 80 nucleotides in length. Their secondary structure includes four short double-helical elements and three loops (D, anti-codon, and T loops).
Source: RNAcentral